GUCGAGCGGAAUGACGAGAGCUUGCUCUCUGAUUUUAGUGGCGGACGGGUGAGUAACACGUGGGCAACCUGCCCUACAGAUGGGGAUAACUCCGGGAAACCGGGGCUAAUACCGAAUAAUCAGUUUGUCCGCAUGGACAAACUCUGAAAGACGGUUUCGGCUGUCACUGUAGGAUGGGCCCGCGGCGCAUUAGCUAGUUGGUGGGGUAAUGGCCUACCAAGGCAACGAUGCGUAGCCGACCUGAGAGGGUGAUCGGCCACACUGGGACUGAGACACGGCCCAGACUCCUACGGGGGGCAGCAGUAGGGAAUCUUCCACAAUGGACGAAAGUCUGAUGGAGCAAUGCCGCGUGAGCGAAGAAGGUUUUCGGAUCGUAAAGCUCUGUUGUAAGGGAAGAACACGUACGGGAGUAACUGCCCGUGCCAUGACGGUACCUUAUUAGAAAGCCACGGCUAACUACGUGCCAGCAGCCGCGGUAAUACGUAGGUGGCAAGCGUUGUCCGGAAUUAUUGGGCGUAAAGCGCGCGCAGGCGGUUCUUUAAGUCUGAUGUGAAAGCCCACGGCUCAACCGUGGAGGGUCAUUGGAAACUGGAGAACUUGAGUACAGAAGAGGAAAGCGGAAUUCCACGUGUAGCGGUGAAAUGCGUAGAGAUGUGGAGGA
RNAcentral lists this ribosomal RNA (661 nucleotides) under uncultured bacterium. Its description in RNAcentral is "bacterial SSU rRNA". It matches the Rfam family "Bacterial small subunit ribosomal RNA", at positions 61 to 705 of the family's 1533-position model. The record is from RNAcentral.